Molecule: ribosomal RNA, 378 nt
Filed under: uncultured Planctomycetota bacterium
Lineage: Bacteria; Pseudomonadati; Planctomycetota
Description: bacterial SSU rRNA
Rfam family: Bacterial small subunit ribosomal RNA
Source: RNAcentral
UAAUACGAAGGGCCCGAGCGUUAUUCGGAAUCACUGGGCUUAAAGCGUACGUAGGCUGGUAUAUAGGCAUUUUGUGAAAUCCCUCGGCUCAACCGAGGAACUGCAGAGUGAACCAUAUAUCUUGAGACAGACAGAGGUCGUUGGAACGAUUGGUGGAGUGGUGAAAUGCGUUGAUAUCAAUCGGAACGCCAAUGGAGAAGUCAAGCGACUGGGUCUGUUCUGACGCUGAGGUACGAAAGCGUGGGUAGCGAACGGGAUUAGAUACCCCGGUAGUCCACGCCGUAAACGAUGUGCACUAGGUCGAGGGCGUUCUGACGCGACUCUCGGCCGAAGCGAAAGUGUUAAGUGCACCGCCUGGGGAGUACGGUCGCAAGGCUU